AUAAAAAGAAAUACUUUAGUUUAAUAUUUUAUAUGUACUGUCAAAUUGCUUACACAAAGUAUUAUAAAUAGGGCAAUGCUCAUUGGAUUGGCAUUAUCUAAUUGCAAUGAAAAUAAACUCAAA
Molecule: long non-coding RNA, 123 nt
Organism: Xenia sp. Carnegie-2017
Lineage: Eukaryota; Metazoa; Cnidaria; Anthozoa; Malacalcyonacea; Xeniidae
Exons: 2
Source: RefSeq, a predicted model, not a curated record